This 637-nucleotide ribosomal RNA is filed under the name uncultured bacterium. RNAcentral's name for it is "bacterial SSU rRNA". It matches the Rfam family "Bacterial small subunit ribosomal RNA", at positions 607 to 1244 of the family's 1533-position model. The record is from RNAcentral.
GCUCAACCGGGGAGGGUCAUUGGAAACUGGGGAACUUGAGUGCGGAAGAGGAGAGUGGAAUUCCACGUGUAGCGGUGAAAUGCGUAGAGAUGUGGAGGAACACCAGUGGCGAAGGCGACUCUCUGGUCUGUAACUGACGCUGAGGCGCGAAAGCGUGGGGAGCGAACAGGAUUAGAUACCCUGGUAGUCCACGCCGUAAACGAUGAGUGCUAAGUGUUAGAGGGUUUCCGCCCUUUAGUGCUGCAGCAAACGCAUUAAGCACUCCGCCUGGGGAGUACGGUCGCAAGACUGAAACUCAAAGGAAUUGACGGGGGCCCGCACAAGCGGUGGAGCAUGUGGUUUAAUUCGAAGCAACGCGAAGAACCUUACCAGGUCUUGACAUCCUCUGACAACCCUAGAGAUAGGGCUUCCCCUUCGGGGGCAGAGAGACAGGUGGUGCAUGGUUGUCGUCAGCUCGUGUCGUGAGAUGUUGGGUUAAGUCCCGCAACGAGCGCAACCCUUGAUCUUAGUUGCCAGCAUUCAGUUGGGCACUCUAAGGUGACUGCCGGUGACAAACCGGAGGAAGGUGGGGAUGACGUCAAAUCAUCAUGCCCCUUAUGACCUGGGCUACACACGCGCUACAAUGGGCAGAACAAAG